UGGGCAACCUGCCCCUCUCUCUGGGAUAACCCCGGGAAACCGGAGCUAAUACCGGAUACUCCGGCUGGAUCGCAUGGUCCGGCCGGGAAAGGUCCGCCGGAGAGGGAUGGGCCCGCGGCCUAUCAGCUUGUUGGUGGGGCCAUGGCUCACCAAGGCGACGACGGGUAGCUGGUCUGAGAGGACGACCAGCCACACUGGAACUGAGAUACGGUCCAGACCUCCGUACGGGGAGGCA
Molecule: ribosomal RNA, 235 nt
Filed under: uncultured bacterium
Lineage: Bacteria
Description: partial 16S ribosomal RNA
Rfam family: Bacterial small subunit ribosomal RNA
Source: RNAcentral